RNAcentral lists this ribosomal RNA (245 nucleotides) under uncultured bacterium. RNAcentral describes it as "partial 16S ribosomal RNA". It matches the Rfam family "Bacterial small subunit ribosomal RNA", at positions 524 to 769 of the family's 1533-position model. The record is from RNAcentral.
UACGUAGGUGGCAAGCGUUAUUCGGAUUUACUAGGCGUAAAGGACAGGUAGGUGGUUGGGUAAGUUGAAAGUGAAAUCCCCAGUUAAACCUGGGAGGGUCUUUCAAGACUGCUCGGCUUGAGUGUAGGAGGGGGAAUCGGAAUUCCUGGUGUAGCGGUGAAAUGCGUAGAUAUCAGGAGGAACACCGAUGGCGAAAGCGGAUUCCUAGCCUACUACUGACACUGAUCUGUGAAGGCGCGGGGAGC